ACCGAGGAAGGUGAUUAUCAAACCAAGCUGCGUAACCUCAAGCGAUUUCUGGAGCAAGGGAACAAGGCGAAGGUAACCCUCUGGUUUCGGGGGCGGGAAAUGGCGCAUCAGAAUCUGGGCAUGCAACUUCUAAAGCGAAUAGAAGCGGACCUGGAAGAGUUUGGCAAUGUCGAGCAAUUCCCUAAGCUGGAAGGGCGGCGUUUGUCCAUGGUGCUGUCUCCGAAAAAAUAACCCUACCCAAUAAUCCGCCCUGGUGAAUCUUCGCCUUCGCGAAGGUGAGCGGGAAAUAAGUGAAUCGAUGGACGUCGC
This 309-nucleotide unclassified non-coding RNA is filed under the name Candidatus Kentrum sp. TC. Its description in RNAcentral is "Candidatus Kentron sp. TC Long range pseudoknot". Lineage: Bacteria; Pseudomonadati; Pseudomonadota; Gammaproteobacteria. The record is from RNAcentral.